AAACCUGCCAAACAACAGGACUCGAGCAUUUCGCUCGGCAUUCAUGUUUUUCCUUUGAAAAGAUUAAAUUCUUGUUAGGCUGGUUUAGAUGUAGGUAUUAAGUGUGAAGGAAUGAACCUCAUUUCGUUGGCACUUGAAUACCAGCGUCUAAAGCACGCCUAACAAAAAUUUAUUCUUUUCAAAGGAAAACAUGAAUGCCGGGUGAAAUGCUUGAGUCCUGUUGUUUUGCAGGUUU
RNAcentral lists this microRNA precursor (235 nucleotides) under Medicago truncatula (barrel medic). Its description in RNAcentral is "miR2592an stem-loop (mtr-MIR2592an)". Lineage: Eukaryota; Viridiplantae; Streptophyta; Magnoliopsida; Fabales; Fabaceae. The record is from miRBase by way of RNAcentral.